This is an unclassified non-coding RNA of Chlorocebus sabaeus (green monkey), 299 nucleotides long. It matches the Rfam family "Metazoan signal recognition particle RNA". Rfam says of the family: The signal recognition particle (SRP) is a universally conserved ribonucleoprotein. It is involved in the co-translational targeting of proteins to membranes. The record is from Ensembl. Lineage: Eukaryota; Metazoa; Chordata; Mammalia; Primates; Cercopithecidae.
GCCAGGCACAGUGGCAUGUGCCUGUAGUCCCAGCUACUUGGGAGGCUGAGGUGCGAGGAUUGCUUGAGCCCCCGACUUCUGGGCUGCAGUGCGCUAUGCCAGUCAGGUGUUAGUGCUAAGUUUGGCAUCAAUAUGGUGACCUCCAGGGAGUAGGGAGCCACCAGGUUGCCUAAGGAGGGGUGAACUGGCCCAGGUCAGAAACUGACCAGGUCAGAACUCCUGUGCUGAUCAGUGGUGGGAUCAUGCCUGUGAAUAGCCACUGCACUACAGCCUGGGCAACAUAGUGAGAACUUGUAAUU